Vigna angularis (adzuki bean) is the source of this 1882-nucleotide long non-coding RNA. RefSeq lists it as uncharacterized. The transcript is spliced from 6 exons. The record is from RefSeq and is a predicted model, not a curated record. NCBI's taxonomy places the organism in Eukaryota, Viridiplantae, Streptophyta, Magnoliopsida, Fabales, Fabaceae.
UUUCAAAGGUUUCUUUACACCAAAGUCGCUUAUUUCGUACCCUCCUAAGCCUUGUCUCCAUGCUUUGUUUUCCACCUUCAUCAGAGUUUCUUCACUGUGCCGUUUUCUUCUUCACCUUCACCUCUCAAGUUCUUCAUCUUUGGCUUUCGCGUCUCAACUUCUCCAUCUUCAGCCUUCCCGUCUUGACUUCUUCAUUUUUAUACACUUCGUCACUUCGCAAUCCCUGAUUUUCUUGUAUUUUUUUUUUUCAAAUCUCUAAUUCCGAAAACCCAGAACCCAAGCAUAAGGAGCUCACCGAUCACGAAUGACUUUUUGAGGAGCUCUCCGAUGGUGUUGUUUUUGAGGAGAUUGUGAUUCUCACAGCCUUCGUGUCUUGUCAUUUCCAUCUCCCAACCUUCGUGUCUCACCAUUUCCAUCUUGCGAUGUGCGCGCCCUGCUGCUGCCAGCUAUGUCUGUGCAACCGUCGACCGUAUCCUCCCGUCACAGCCAAAGGCCGAACUCGGUAGUGUAGUGCGAUUCUCGCAAAUCUGUUUGGCCGGUAGAAGCGGAGGCACCACAUGAAGGCCAGGAAGUUCCACGUUGGAUUGAUGAAAAAGAGGAUGUCGAAGAUUCAAAGAACGGCAUCGCCGCUGCAGGAGAAAGCGUGCUCUCUCGGACGAUAAAUCCCCGGUUGCCAGAAGGUAUCGUUCCCGAAGCUUCUAGAAGAAGCCGGUGACUAUAUAAACAGUCUACCUAGUUGGACAAAGCUGAUUCUUGUUGUUGUUGAAACUUUACAUGACUUAGCCAUUUUAUUGUAUGUCAGUUUUUCUUUGUUUAUUCGUCUUAGUAUUUUUAACAGUGCUUAUAUGAAUAUUUUUUUAUGCUUAGAGAUGAUCAUCCCGUGAGUUUUUACCUAGCUCCCUCUCUUUAACCUCCCCUCCUAUAAAGGUAGAUAAUUACAUGGGUCAAAAGAAUGACUUUUCAGAAUUGUGUAUAGUGAACAAACACGACAUUUUUUUAACUUUGCAAAUACCUUCACUAGCAUCACAAUUUUUCUGUCAAUUGAGAUAUCUCUUGGAUGUCCAUUUUCUUUUCACUUGCAUGUGUUAUGUAUUAAUGCCUUCCUUCUAUAUAUCAUAAUUCUGAGAUGCACAAACUGCAAAGGAUGAACAAAGGGAGCAACUUGCGAAGGAAAUUUCAAAGGAUUGGAGUUCUGAUGCAUGUCUGCAGAACCUGAUCUUCGUCUGGCUUGAAUCUAAUGUUGAGGCAUACUCUGUCCAUCUGGAUCUCGGGGAGAGGGAUACAAAAGGAAUCUGAUGAAGCAAAAUUGAUAUUUACUGCUGCCGAGAGAAAGGUUCUUGAAGUUAGAGAGCAACUCAAAAGAAUUGCAUAGAGGAUAGGAUUAGUCUUAAAAUCUUGUGAGAGUGAUAUGCAGGCUUAUACAAUUAUGAGAUUAUGUUCGUCGUGCUUGUCACAUUAUCGUUGUGAAGCUUUCCUAGUUCUUCAACAAAGAUAGAUUUACACGGGAAGAUCCUCCAUUACAUUGAAGAGCCUCGGUGAUCCAGGAAGUCAUUGAUUUAAAAGUCAUUUUCGCUUAAGCGAGAAUAAUUUAGCUUAAGCGAGAAUUCGGGCAGUAUAUAUACUCACGAGGCAGAAAGAAAAAGGGUCUUUGGUUCUUUGGAGGCACGAUUUCACGUCAGGAGCUCAUGGAGGGCGCGAGGAGCUUGUGGGAACAUCUCCUCCUCUUCCUUUGGGUCUCCUUCUUCUUCCAUCUUCCAUGUUUGUAAGCUUUAGGGUUCUCCAUGGAAAUGGAGAACCAGAUUCAUCUUGUUAAGGUUAGAUGUAGCCUAUGAACUCUUGUGUAAUGAAUGAUUGUUUCGUAUUUAUAAAUGUCUUUUCUAUC